GGCCGCUACGUGCGAGGGGCUGGGGGAGUGCGGAGGGGGGGAGAGUGUGUCGGAUUCAUUGGGCGGAAAGAGGUCGUAGGCGGUUCAGGAAGUGUGGGGUGAGAUCUCCGUGCGCAACGCGGGGCGGCCACCUGAGACUGCUGUGACUCGAGUCCGGUAGGGGAGUGUGGAAUUCCCGGUGUAGCGGUGAAAUGCGCAGAUAUCGGGAGGAACACCAGUAGCGAAGGCGGCACUCUGGGCCGUGACUGACGCUGAGGAGCGAAAGCGUGGGUAGCAAACAGGAUUAGAUACCCUUGAGUC
RNAcentral lists this ribosomal RNA (300 nucleotides) under uncultured Desulfurococcus sp. Its description in RNAcentral is "bacterial SSU rRNA". The stretch from base 52 to 300 matches the Rfam family "Bacterial small subunit ribosomal RNA", at positions 547 to 795 of the family's 1533-position model. Lineage: Archaea; Thermoproteati; Thermoproteota; Thermoprotei; Desulfurococcales; Desulfurococcaceae. The record is from RNAcentral.